This 717-nucleotide small RNA is filed under the name Pan troglodytes (chimpanzee). Its description in RNAcentral is "retained intron". The record is from RNAcentral. Lineage: Eukaryota; Metazoa; Chordata; Mammalia; Primates; Hominidae.
AGGGUCACACAUGGGGCCGGUGCUGCUGGACACAGGGCACCUCCCAACUCCCUGCCCUGUACUCUGCGCUUGCCCCUGUCCCAACAGGUUCCCCUUCUACUUUGAACUGAAGAUCGCCUUCGUGAUAUGGCUGCUGUCCCCUUACACCAAGGGCUCCAGCGUGCUCUACCGCAAGUUCGUGCACCCAACGCUGUCCAACAAGGAGAAGGAGAUCGACGAGUACAUCACGCAGGCCCGAGACAAGAGCUAUGAGACCAUGAUGAGGGUGGGCAAGAGGGGCCUGAACCUUGCCGCCAAUGCUGCAGUCACAGCUGCCGCCAAGGGCCAGGGGGUGCUGUCAGAGAAGCUCCGCAGCUUCAGCAUGCAGGACCUGACCCUGAUCCGGGACGAGGACGCACUGCCUCUGCAGAGGCCUGACGGCCGCCUCCGACCCAGCCCUGGCAGCCUCCUGGACACCAUCGAGGACUUAGGAGAUGACCCUGCCCUGAGUCUAAGGUCCAGCACAAACCCGGCAGAUUCCCGGACAGAGGCUUCUGAGGAUGACAUGGGAGACAAAGCUCCCAAGAGGGCCAAACCCAUCAAAAAAGCGCCCAAAGCUGAGCCACUGGCUUCCAAGACACUGAAGACCCGGCCCAAGAAGAAGACCUCUGGCGGGGGCGACUCAGCUUGAGCCCCUCCACCCCCGCAGGCUGCAGAGCAAGGAUGAAGCCUCAGGAG